Molecule: long non-coding RNA, 982 nt
Organism: Tympanuchus pallidicinctus (lesser prairie-chicken)
Lineage: Eukaryota; Metazoa; Chordata; Aves; Galliformes; Phasianidae
Exons: 8
Source: RefSeq, a predicted model, not a curated record
UUCACCUGUGCUGCUGGAAGGCCUGGCUUCUAGACCCAUUUAAGAGCUGACUACCAAUGGGAAAGGAUCUUUUCUGGAGAUCUCUCCUCUGGAGUUUUGCACCAAGCCCGCGAUGCUUAUGAAGACAUACAAGAUGAAAGAAAAUUCAGUAACUGCAGAAUAUAUCUCUUAAUUCUUCCCGGAACUGCAGUACCUGAUUCUGGAAAGGCCAUAACUUCUUUCUUACAUCUAACAACUUUAUUGAAGAGCUGUGGGUGCCUUGUUGACUUGCUUUUACUGAAGGUCUGAGCAAUUCUGCUGCAUCAGAUUUCAGGAGAUCUUCACUGGCCUGAACAAAGUGCCACCAGCAUUUUUACUUCUAGAUUUCCAGAGAGCUUGACAUAGGUAAACUGCUUUACUACCUGUGGAUGUGAAUUCAUAGAAGAAACUGAUGAGGACAAGAGAACCUGCAUUCCUUGCAAGAUCCCUGGAGCUGCUUCAUGUGAAAUAUCAUCCAGUCUCUCCUGAGACUAUUCAUGUCAACUGCAGCAGUCUUUCUGAUAGGUGUGCACAUUAACAGCAGGAAAGAGAAAAGAUGUGGAAUCCCAAAUAUGGAUGAAUUUGUUUUUCUGCUGCUGCUGAUGGUGGGACUGCAAUACUGAAGGACUUGUUUAUGAAAAUGCUAUUGCAAAUGUGAGAAUCAGAACAUGCCUGCCUACCUAACAGAACUACGUAAGAAACUUGGGGAAGACAAAGAUGAGUUUUCUGAGUGGUGCUGAAUAUAUCAGUUAUAUCCCUGGGAUUUAGCCAUAAAAAAAUGAAGAGAGGUACAGAACUAUUACACCUCACAACUCAGUGCUGGGCUGUAGACACCAGGCCAGGUGGUACAUUCAGCUACGUUACUGCAGCAACGUACAAGCGGAUUAAUUUUCAGCCAAGAAAAAGAACCGUUUUUCCAUUCUUUGAAUAUUUGAACUGUUCCUAAUCUUUUCACAGAAAUAAA